CCCAGACUCCAGGCUGGGUGACAGAGUGAGACCCUGUCUCUUAAAAAAAAGUGCUGGGAUUACAGGCAUGAGCCACCGCGCCCGGCCUCAUGUAGAACUUUUAAUUGAACUUUUUGUCCCCGUUUACAUUAUAAUGUGAAAAUAAAAGAUGAAAAUCAAAAUGAAAGCAUUUGUUGAUUUGAA
RNAcentral lists this non-coding RNA (183 nucleotides) under Pan troglodytes (chimpanzee). Lineage: Eukaryota; Metazoa; Chordata; Mammalia; Primates; Hominidae. RNAcentral also lists the same sequence under 1 other name. The record is from RNAcentral.